RNAcentral lists this long non-coding RNA (467 nucleotides) under Equus caballus (horse). RNAcentral's name for it is "lncRNA (ENSECAG00000035898.3)". Lineage: Eukaryota; Metazoa; Chordata; Mammalia; Perissodactyla; Equidae. The record is from RNAcentral.
AGCCCUCCCUCUGCAAUCUCCAUUGCCAUUGCCGUUAGCAUAGAUCUUCAGGGCGCAUCUUUUCUCCUGGGUUUCUGUGUUUGUUUUACUCACUGCCUUCCUGUGCCUCUGCUUAGGACAUUUUCAUGAACAAGCAAGAAAAUGUUCAGCACAUAAGCUUCUCUACUACCUGAAAAAAUGAGCUUUAACUUUGAACAUCACACAGAUCCAGUGAGUGCUUGUUUCAAAUAUGUGUGCAUGUCUCCACGAGCCACUAAAUAUCAGCAUUAUUACCAACAUAAUAAUCAGCUUUGGAUUUGCUAUAUAGAAGCUGAAUUAUUUAGCGACAUGUUCCACCAGAAAUUAUAACUGUACUUUAGUCAAGCACAUUCUUUUCUCUGGAAAAUUCGUCUUUAUCAUCAGAGCUUGUAGUCACUAAUGUGUGACUGCACAUACAUGCCUUCUUAACCAUGGAAAUUAAUAUGUAC